This 120-nucleotide non-coding RNA is filed under the name Kocuria rosea subsp. polaris. RNAcentral's name for it is "Kocuria polaris TPP sequence". It matches the Rfam family "TPP riboswitch aptamer (THI element)". From Rfam's summary of the family: Vitamin B(1) in its active form thiamin pyrophosphate (TPP) is an essential coenzyme that is synthesised by coupling of pyrimidine and thiazole moieties in bacteria. The previously detected thiamin-regulatory element, thi box was extended, resulting in a new, highly conserved RNA secondary structure, the THI element, which is widely distributed in eubacteria and also occurs in some archaea. The record is from RNAcentral. Lineage: Bacteria; Bacillati; Actinomycetota; Actinomycetes; Micrococcales; Micrococcaceae.
ACUGAACGACAGGGGAGCGCCCCGCCGGUGAGACCGGCGCGGCGCUGAGAGUGCGGAUCGCCGCAGACCCUCGAACCUGCUCCGGUUAGCACCGGCGAAGGGAGUCGAGCAUCUCAGGGG